UACGUAGGGUGCGAGCGUUGUCCGGAAUUACUGGGCGUAAAGAGCUCGUAGGCGGCCUGUCGCGUCGACCGUGAAAACCCGCAGCUCAACUGCGGGCUUGCGGUCGAUACGGGCAGGCUGGAGUUCGGUAGGGGAGACUGGAAUUCCUGGUGUAGCGGUGAAAUGCGCAGAUAUCAGGAGGAACACCGGUGGCGAAGGCGGGUCUCUGGGCCGAUACUGACGCUGAGGAGCGAAAGCGUGGGGAGCGAACAGG
RNAcentral lists this ribosomal RNA (253 nucleotides) under uncultured bacterium. RNAcentral describes it as "partial 16S ribosomal RNA". It matches the Rfam family "Bacterial small subunit ribosomal RNA", at positions 524 to 776 of the family's 1533-position model. The record is from RNAcentral.